AUUGAACGCUGGCGGCAUGCUUUACACAUGCAAGUCGAACGGCAGCACGGGCUUCGGCCUGGUGGCGAGUGGCGAACGGGUGAGUAAUGCGUCGGAACGUGCCGAGUAAUGGGGGAUAACGCUUCGAAAGGAGUGCUAAUACCGCAUACGCUCUGAGGAGGAAAGCGGGGGGACCUUCGGGCCUCGCGUUAUUCGAGCGGCCGACGUCUGAUUAGCUAGUUGGUGAGGUAAAGGCUCACCAAGGCGACGAUCAGUAGCGGGUCUGAGAGGAUGAUCCGCCACACUGGGACUGAGACACGGCCCAGACUCCUACGGGAGGCAGCAGUGGGGAAUUUUGGACAAUGGGGGAAACCCUGAUCCAGCCAUGCCGCGUGUCUGAAGAAGGCCUCGG
RNAcentral lists this ribosomal RNA (391 nucleotides) under uncultured bacterium. Its description in RNAcentral is "bacterial SSU rRNA". It matches the Rfam family "Bacterial small subunit ribosomal RNA", at positions 28 to 420 of the family's 1533-position model. The record is from RNAcentral.